GACGAACGCUGGCGGCGUGCUUAACACAUGCAAGUCGAACGAAGAGCGAUGGAAGCUUGCUUCUAUCAAUCUUAGUGGCGAACGGGUGAGUAACGCGUAAUCAGCCUGCCCUUCAGAGGGGGACAACAGUUGGAAACGACUGCUAAUACCGCAUACGAUCUGACCUCGGCAUCGAGGAUAGAUGAAAGGUGGCCUCUACAUGUAAGCUAUCACUGAAGGAGGGGAUUGCGUCUGAUUAGCUAGUUGGAGGGGUAACGGCCCACCAAGGCGAUGAUCAGUAGCCGGUCUGAGAGGAUGAACGGCCACAUUGGGACUGAGACACGGCCCAGACUCCUACGGGAGGCAGCAGUGGGGAAUCUUCCGCAAUGGACGAAAGUCUGACGGAGCAACGCCGCGUGAGUGAUGACGGCCUUCGGGUUGUAAAGCUCUGUUAAUCGGGACGAAAGGCCUUUUUGCGAAUAGUGAGAAGGAUUGACGGUACCGGAAUAGAAAGCCACGGCUAACUACGUG
This 510-nucleotide ribosomal RNA is filed under the name uncultured bacterium. RNAcentral describes it as "partial 16S ribosomal RNA". It matches the Rfam family "Bacterial small subunit ribosomal RNA", at positions 28 to 507 of the family's 1533-position model. The record is from RNAcentral.